Bombyx mori (domestic silkworm) is the source of this 75-nucleotide non-coding RNA. NCBI's taxonomy places the organism in Eukaryota, Metazoa, Arthropoda, Insecta, Lepidoptera, Bombycidae. The record is from RefSeq and is marked provisional.
UUCAGCCACGUAAAGCGCUAUCUCUGUCGCACACUAUGUGAUGUGUGCGACAGAGAUAGCGCUCGAUGUGCAAUA